AAUAUAUUUAGAUGUUUAGUUGCUUUCUUUUGGUUCCUUUUGAUGAUAACAAACAUAAAUACAACUUUCACAAAAAAAAAAAAAAGAAAGAAACAGAAGAAGAGUCACGUAAGUACACAGAAUGUACAAGGAGGCCUAAAGAAGGAAAUACCCAAUCAGGAUUAGAGAAGCUUGACCUAGAUUACCCUGAGGACAGUUUUAUAGCUGCCAGUAUCGUCAGCCAAUGAAACUAAGAAUCAAGAUGCUAAUCAUAGAGCCAAAUGUUCUUCUGAUUAUGAUACAUUGCACAGCUUGGCAUCUGGAUGCAGCUUCCAAGCAGUGAAUAUACAAGACUCCGUGCAUUUAUAUUCUGUUUAUCUGAAACAACUAAUACAUAAGGGAGUGAGAACAUUCAGUUUGCAGAAAGCUAAUCCAGAUAUGUAAAGAGGUCAAAAUGGCACCAAGACCAGCUGUUUUAAAAUAUUCCUUAAUGAAAAACACAUUGCGUAGAACAAGAUUUGUGCAGCAAGAUCAUUAUAAGGGAGAAAACCUAAAGACUUUGGAGCUGUCACUCAAUAUUCUGCUGUAACAGUUCAGUGCUUUGAAGAGCAACAUUUCACUUUGCACUUUUGUAUCUAUCUUUAAAUUGAGAGUCAUAUUAAAGCAGCAUAUAGAUGUACAUUUUUUCACUUCACCAUGAAACAAUUUUUCAUACAGCGUGUACAUAUUAUAUUUGAGCAGUGCAAAAGUUUCCCAAUAUAGCUACAUCAAAAUUUUCCAUCUGAAGUGUUGAAGAUUUUUACAACAUUAUACAAAUGCCGAAAAGUUGGUUCAUGCCUUUGUCUCCUCCAGACUGGAUUACUGUAAUGCACUUAUCGGGAUUCCGAGAAAGAGUCUGCAAAGGCUUCAGUACAUCCAAAACUCUGCAGCAAGGAUCCUGAUGAGAGUGCGGAAACAUGAGCACAUCACUCCUAAUCUUCAUUCACUCCACUGGCUUCCUGUUUCCGUCAGGAUUGAGUACAAAGUUUCCCUUCUUGCAUCCAUGGAUAUGCUCCCCCCUACCUCAAAGAACUUCUGAAAUUACAAAAUAUAACACGUCCCCUUCGCUCUACUCAAUCAAACCUUCUUCAUAUACCUAGAACUAGACUUAUGACAAUGGGAGACAAGGCAUAUUGUGCAGCUGCCCCACGCCUGUGGAAUGCCCUACCUGGCACUCUGAGGGCUCCUCAAUCCAUUGAUUGUUUUAAAAAAGGCCUUAAGACAUUUCUUUUUAGCAAAGCUUUUUGUUCUUUUAGAUGUUCAUUUCAUUGUGUAAAUUACUUAUUUUUCUGAUCUGUAGCCUUUUGAGAUUUUUUGAUGAA
Long non-coding RNA from Rana temporaria (common frog), 1340 nucleotides. RefSeq lists it as uncharacterized. The transcript is spliced from 3 exons. NCBI's taxonomy places the organism in Eukaryota, Metazoa, Chordata, Amphibia, Anura, Ranidae. The record is from RefSeq and is a predicted model, not a curated record.